This 284-nucleotide unclassified non-coding RNA is filed under the name Recurvomyces sp. Its description in RNAcentral is "partial contains 5.8S ribosomal RNA, internal transcribed spacer 2, and large subunit ribosomal RNA". The stretch from base 1 to 71 matches the Rfam family "5.8S ribosomal RNA", at positions 84 to 154 of the family's 154-position model. The record is from RNAcentral. Lineage: Eukaryota; Fungi; Ascomycota; Dothideomycetes; Mycosphaerellales; Teratosphaeriaceae.
GUGAGUCAUCGAAUCUUUGAACGCACAUUGCGCCCUUUGGUAUUCCGAAGGGCAUGCCUGUUCGAGCGUCAUUACACCACUCAAGCCUCGCUUGGUAUUGGGCGCCGCGGUCCGCCGCGCGCCCCAAUGUCUCCGGCUGAGCCGACCGUCUCUAAGCGUUGUGGCUUUUACGAGUUUCGCUUGUGGGACGGGCCGGUUUGUCGCCGUUAAACCUCUUUUUACCAGGUUGACCUCGGAUCAGGUAGGGAUACCCGCUGAACUUAAGCAUAUCAAUAAGCGGAGGA